Molecule: unclassified non-coding RNA, 200 nt
Filed under: soil metagenome
Description: partial contains internal transcribed spacer 2 and large subunit ribosomal RNA
Source: RNAcentral
CUAGUGUCGGCUCCUCUCAAAUGGAUCAGCUUCCCAGUGUUUGGUGGCGUCACAGGUGUGAUAACUAUCUACGCUUGUGGUUUUCUGCCAUUAACCUUCAGCAAUGGAGGUUCGCUGGAGCUCACAGAUGUCUUCCCUUGGGGAGGACAGCUUCUUGAACGUCUGAUCUCAAAUCAGGUAGGACUACCCGCUGAACUUAA